UCUGCAAAGGAUUCUCC
This 17-nucleotide small RNA is filed under the name Arabidopsis thaliana (thale cress). Its description in RNAcentral is "ATSL304250". The record is from RNAcentral. Lineage: Eukaryota; Viridiplantae; Streptophyta; Magnoliopsida; Brassicales; Brassicaceae.